CUUCAGCUGUGGGCACAGAAGGUGACACUCAGGACAAUCUCCAGCAUGGCCUGGGCUCCUCUCCUCCUCACUGUCCUGGCUCACUGCACAGGAUGCUGGGCCCAGUCUGUGCUGACUCAGCCACCCUCAGUGUCUGGGAACCCUGGGCAGAGGGUCACCAUCUCCUGUUCUGGAAGCAGCUCCAACAUUGGAAGUAGCUAUGUAAACUGGUACCAGCAGCUCCCAGGAACGGCCCCCAAACUUCUCAUCUAUUAUAAUGAUCAGCGACCCUCAGGGGUUUCUGACCGAUUCUCUGGCUCCAAGUCCGGCAACUCAGCCUCCCUGGCCAUCACUGGACUCCAGUCUGCGGAUGAGGCUGAUUAUUAUUGCAUGUCAUAUGACAGCAACCUGGAUGCUCACACAGUGCUCCAGGCCCAGGGGGAACCCUCUCACACAGGUGACUACUGCUGUGGCUCUGGUGGAGUGGCCCCUGUCCUCUGA
Non-coding RNA from Saimiri boliviensis boliviensis (Bolivian squirrel monkey), 480 nucleotides. NCBI's taxonomy places the organism in Eukaryota, Metazoa, Chordata, Mammalia, Primates, Cebidae. The record is from the annotation of a RefSeq genome assembly.